This 690-nucleotide long non-coding RNA is filed under the name Phascolarctos cinereus (koala). RNAcentral's name for it is "lncRNA (ENSPCIG00000036161.1)". Lineage: Eukaryota; Metazoa; Chordata; Mammalia; Diprotodontia; Phascolarctidae. The record is from RNAcentral.
UCUCCAGACUUUUCUACAUGGAAAACAAAAAUGUGAAACAGGGAAGGCAUCAUCAGAAGAUGUUCACCUGGAGAAACUCAUUGAGACUGUGUCUUUGUUUACAAUUUUUUUUUUGACAAAGCUCUAUUUUGGUUUCUUAAACUAUUCAUGGCAUUAAUUUUUUUUUAAAAAAAUGCAUGCUCUAGCAUGCACACAGAGAGAUAAAAAUGUUUCUGCAAAAGAGGGUAUGAUAAAAAAAAAUACCUACAGGUAGUUUAUCUCCAACAAUUCCAUCAAACUUUGUUAUCGUCACAACCUAAACAUCUACCGCUUUGUUUUUUGGACAGGGUGAACAUGAAGAACAGGUACUCUGAUGAGCAAAGCUUCCUGUGAACCAAAGCUAAAUAGUAAACCAAACUCUCUCCAUUGCUAUGGCAGCUUCAUAAUGGAGCUCACCUUCCAGCAGUCCUAAAUAUGCAGAGUUCCUGGUGAAGGGCCUUGGGUGUUGAUUCUAGAUUGACUCUUAUUGGGAGCUUAGCGAAAUGGCGGCAACAUCUCCCUCAUAGCAGAUACACUGUCUUAUAUGGCAUGGGUGAAGAUGUAAGUAUUAUUUUCAAUACAGUGUGAGAAGAUUAGGGUUCUCUUUCUGUCUCUCUCCAUCUUUCUCUCUCUCCUCUUCCUCUCCUAACUUCUCCCCUUCUUUCUCUGAAU